GCCUAGGUAAAUGGUCUCCACCGAAAGUGGCUUGCAGAGCUAAGAUCAGUUCGAAUUCGCCAGCGCCCAAAGACCACUUGGUAAGGAAAAGGUCCCCGGUUCGAAUCCGGGCGUGGGCUCCA
This 122-nucleotide transfer RNA is filed under the name Candidatus Dormiibacterota bacterium. RNAcentral's name for it is "tRNA-Ser". The record is from RNAcentral. Lineage: Bacteria; Bacillati; Candidatus Dormiibacterota.